This is a long non-coding RNA of Gallus gallus (chicken), 1076 nucleotides long. The record is from Ensembl. Lineage: Eukaryota; Metazoa; Chordata; Aves; Galliformes; Phasianidae.
GUUGGUGAAUGCAGCUCUUUUUCUCCCUUCGUUAACCACUUAGCAACAAUUUAUUUAUUUAUUUAUUUAUUUAAAGUGACAGAACUGCAAAGUAGAAAGUAAAAAUGAGAAGAGAAAAAAGAAGGAGAAAGGAACCUAACAGCAAUGUCUGUCUGCAAUGGUAACACUUGCAUCAACAGGGAAAGCUGAAAGCCAGGAAGAUCGGUAAGAUGGAGAGAUUGGUGAAGGCACGGUGAUUCUAAGACUGAUGCGUUAAGAUUUCUAUUCCCAGCCAGCUCUACUCUGGAUGUGACUAAAAUGGAUGUGAGAGGACUUCUCAUACCUUGAACUGUUUAGCUAUUCAGCUCAGGAACUAUAUCUUGGUUUUGCCAUUCAUUGCUAUGGAACAGAUAUCUUCUCUGGAGAAGAUGGCACAGUACCUUCCCCUGAGCAGGUGCUGGAGGACUUUGGAAGUAGACGUAAUCCGUAACCAAGUUGGAUAUAACUAUCAUCUGCCCAAGGCAUCUAAUGUUAGCGAUCUGAACCACAGCGCUUUCCCUGGGAGUGCCAGGUGCAGAGAAGAUGGUGUGCACCAAACUUUUUCCCUUGAACAACCUGCAGGAAAUUCACAGCAAACUUUCUUUCCAUGAUGAUGGAGAACAUUUCCACAUUCUGUACUGCUAUCAUACCAGUGAUAAUAUAUUAACACAAUAAUGUCUUCCAUACUCACUUGAUAAUGUAACUUUUCUUCCCUCCCAAGCAAUCAUGCCCAUUUUCAUCAACUAAUCUAUUUCUUGACAACCUACGCUCAUUAGAACAGCUGAGAUUUUCCUGCCUCCUGAACUAGGAUCUACAGGACCUGUCUGAAAACUGAGUAUUGCUUUUUUGAACAGUGGAACAGCCAAAAUCCAGACAGUUCUGUGCUUAAAGAACUAAGAAUGUACUAUUAAAGAAGGUGAGAGGAUUUAAAAGCAGUCGGUAUCACAGCCGUGAAUGAGUGACUUCCUUGAACAUCUACAUGUACUGCACGAAAGAUGGGCAACCAAAAUGGCAUUUGCUAAACUUCCUUAAUUUUUUAUUUUAAUGCUUUUCUUCAC